GUGCCAGCAGCCGCGGUAAUACGGAGGGUGCAAGCGUUAUCCGGAUUUACUGGGUUUAAAGGGUGCGUAGGUGGGCAGUUAAGUCAGUGGUGAAAUCUCCGAGCUUAACUCGGAAACUGCCAUUGAUACUAUCUGUCUUGAAUAUCCUGGAGGUGAGCGGAAUAUGUCAUGUAGCGGUGAAAUGCUUAGAUAUGACAUAGAACACCAAUUGCGAAGGCAGCUCACUACGGGGUUAUUGACACUGAGGCACGAAAGCGUGGGGAUCAAACAGGAUUAGAUACCCUGGUAGUCC
RNAcentral lists this ribosomal RNA (292 nucleotides) under uncultured bacterium. RNAcentral describes it as "partial 16S ribosomal RNA". It matches the Rfam family "Bacterial small subunit ribosomal RNA", at positions 505 to 796 of the family's 1533-position model. The record is from RNAcentral.